Long non-coding RNA from Ctenopharyngodon idella (grass carp), 511 nucleotides. RefSeq lists it as uncharacterized. Lineage: Eukaryota; Metazoa; Chordata; Actinopteri; Cypriniformes; Xenocyprididae. The transcript has 3 exons. The record is from RefSeq and is a predicted model, not a curated record.
GCGUAGAGGCAGGACACACAAACAUGAGGGAGGUGACAGGAGGUGAAACGCUUGACUCCACCUUAAACACAGCUCAACCUGCCAUUCGUUCAGAGAGAAAAAAAAACAAGAAGGAGAACAAGAGGGAGAUUUUGUGUCCAAAGUAGGACUGCAAUACCCGGAGAAAGAACUAUUAGCAUUCUACCCAGUGUUUUACUUAAUCUUUACAAUUUGGCAACCAUGCACAUGCGCUCUUUCUACACUGUGAAAGCUCUGCCGAUGUUCUUCUGAAAACACAGACAAACAAGGCCGAUAGCGCUGAUAGGCCGGACUCGUGACUCCCAACAAAUCAGUUGAGCGGUGGGCGGAGCUUGCUCUAGGCCACAGAGUGGUGUCUCAGAGUGAGAGGAAGAAGAGGCAGAGCUGGCCCCGUCCUCAGCCCCGCCGCCCUGAGACAGCAGCCCUCUCCCCGGUGGAAGCUUCAUGCCCAGCUGCUCGGCCAUCUCCACAUGAUCGCCCGGGUGAACGUAGU